ACCCUGCGGAGAGCCCUGCGCUAAGCCUGGGCGGUGGUUAGUUGCUCUGGCGGUGGGCUGUGCCAGCUUGGCCCACGGUGCCCACGUGGGCCACGGCCUGGCCUGUCUGCUCCUCACUUUGUCCCAAGCCCUUGCACCAGGGCCGGGACUCGGGGAUGGUCUCAUCUCUCCACUUAUUCUCACCCACGGGGUGAGCUCUCUCUGGAGAAUACCCCUUUUGAUGGCUCCAGUGAUACUGUCGGUGAGCCCCAGGGACUCACCCACAAAAUAAAGGGACAGCGAUGCAUACUCGCUGCCUGGCCAAGGUUGGAUGCCCUCGUUUGAUGCUGUCAGGGUGGUGGUGGUGCGCUCCUUUCACAGAGCUCAGGAGGCAGAAGCAGGCGGAUCUCUGUGAGUUUGAGGCCAGCCUGGUCUAUGGAACGAGUUCCAGGACAGUCAAAAGUACACAGACACCCUGUCUUAUCUGGAGGCCCUUGCCCGACGCGCAUACGGUCCAGUGGCAUGUGAACUGUACCAAGAGGGUAACACAGACUCGGGUGUUACAGGCCCCAAGUACUCCAACAAAACAAAGGUUUCACUUUAGCGGUUCUUGCUAAGCACAGCUGAUUCUUCAGCCCCAGAAGAAUUCGGUUCCCAAAGAAACCAGAACCACAGAUUCUUCACAAAAUGGCAGUAGAGCCUUUGCUUCCCUCUGAAAUGUCACAAGCCAGCUCUCCAUCAUCUGCACCGCUCUCAACGCUUGUAUCUUCCAGGCUCCUACACAACAGCUCCCUGAGCUCUCAACACACAAUGGCUUUUUCCAAAACUCAAAGUCCUUCUACAAUUCUCCCCGCACGAUCAGGUCUGCCCCAGCAAUACCCCCACUAUGCUGCCACCAGUUUGUUUAGUUGGGGUUUUAAUUGCUGUAACAAAAAAAACAUGAUAACUAAAAAGCAAGUUGGAGAGACAAAGGUUUAUUUGGCUUACACUUCCCACAUCACAGUUCAUGACCAAGGGAAGUCGGGACAGGAACUCAAGCAGGGCAAGAUAAAUAAAAGAGGCAGGAACUAAUAAAGAGGCCACGGAGGGGUGCUGCUUACUGACUUGCUCCAUAUGGCUGGCUCAGCCUGCUUUCUUAUAGAACCCAGAACUGCCAGUUCAAGGGUGGCACUGCCCACAAUGGGCUGGACCCUCCCCCAUCAAUCACUAAUUAAGAAAAUGCCCUACAAGCUUGCCUACACCCUAAUUCUUUUUUUAAAAAAUAUUUAUUUAUUAUGUAUACAAUAUUCUGUCUGUAUGUAUGCCUGCAGGCCAGAAGAGGGCACCAGACCCCAUUACAGAUGGUUGUGAGCCACCAUGUGGUUGCUGGGAAUUGAACUCAGGACCUUUGGAAAAGCAGGCAGUGCUCUUAACCUCAGCCAUCUCUCCAGCUCCUACAACCUAAUUUUUAUGAAGGCCUUUUCUCAAUUGAGGGUCCCUCCUCGGUGAUGACUCUAGCUUGUGUCAAGUUCACAUAAAACUAUCCAGCAUAUAUGACCAGAGGAGAAUCACUUAAGAGUUAUUACUUUACCUGAUGAAACAGAUUUGGAUUGGAAUUAAUGCAAACUGUUCUUCAUUUAAAAAAAAAAAGUCAGGGUGGGACUGAAGAGAUGGCUUGAUUUAGAACACUGACUGCUCUUCCAGAAGACCUGGGUUCAAUUCCCAGCACCCACAUGGCAACUCACAACUGUCUGUAACUCCCACACCCAGCAGAUCGGACACCAUCACACUGGCAUACAUGAAGGCAAAACACCAAUACACAUAAAUAAAAUAUCAAAAAAAGAGAGAGAGAGAGAGAGAAAGAGAGAAGUGGUAUCCUCUGAAGGCUUCUGUUCUCCUGGUGGUUACAUAAAGGGUGUUCAAGUAAGACCGUGAAUGUAAGGCUAACAGCUGACAUCCCAGACAGCUACUAGGACAAUCUUGAGCUCCAGACCAGCCUAAGCAACGUGUA
This is a long non-coding RNA of Chionomys nivalis (European snow vole), 1969 nucleotides long. RefSeq lists it as uncharacterized. The transcript has 3 exons. The record is from RefSeq and is a predicted model, not a curated record. Lineage: Eukaryota; Metazoa; Chordata; Mammalia; Rodentia; Cricetidae.